Molecule: long non-coding RNA, 7545 nt
Filed under: Sus scrofa (pig)
Lineage: Eukaryota; Metazoa; Chordata; Mammalia; Artiodactyla; Suidae
Description: lncRNA (ENSSSCG00025060039.1)
Source: RNAcentral
AAAUUGGCAGGGGAAUGUCAGAGACAGGCAUGAAGUACUCCGGAGUCCCACACAUGGAAAUCAUUGGUGAGAGGCAUUGCCUGCUUGGUAGGAACAGAUGGGUGGUAGUAUGGGGGCGGGGGGGGGCUUCCAUUCCUGAACAGCCUCCCCCGGUCUGACUGUGGAUCAGACCACUCGCGAGCCUGUCAGCACUGAGGAUCUCCAGCCUCUCCCAGAGGAGGCUCCUCCCUUGGGCGGAGUGGGGACUUGCUUAGAAGGAUGACCCUGGAGGCAGGUUGCCACUUCCCACUUGAUACCUGCAGCUGUGCCAGGUGCCUGGGCCGCCUGCCUAAGCCACUCGCAUGGCCCAACUGCCUCAGGGGCUGCCAAGCAGCUGGAGUUUCCCUGCGGGUCUCCUCUAUCCCAUCAGGGCAGUUUAUUGAAUUUGAUUGUGAACAAAGAAUAUGCCAGGUUUAUUUUUCUCAUUUCUCCAAAAUAUGCAGCAAAGUCAUCUAUCAAAGAGCUCUAUGUCAAAAACAUUAAGGAAAAUUAAACUGUGGUUUAAUCUAGUGGUCUGGCCUCCUUGCCCAGUUAGAGCUCAGGGUGGUAUGUUUCCUGUGUGGGUCAGAGGAUGUUGAUUUGUUUUUUUUUGUCUUUUUGCCUUUUCUCGGGCCACUCCUGUGGCAGAUGGGGGUUCCAAGGCUAGGGGUCUAAUUGGAGCUGUAGAUGCCAGCCACAGCCACAGCCAUGCCGGAUCCUUAACCCACUGAACAAGGCCACGGAUGGAACCCAAAACCUCAUGGUUCCUCGUCAGAUUCGUUAACCACUGAGCCACGACAGGAACUCCCUGAUUUUUGCCUGCAGGAAAUGACUAUAAAUAAUCUCUUCUUGGAAGAAGACCUUGGAAAAAGGGCUCUCUUUUGCCGAAAGCCUGCAGAGGAGCGUCCAGGGAGCUCAAGUGUAAGAGCCUUUGGGAUAGAAUGGAAGCAGGCAGACCUUGGGGGCCAAGGGGUGAACGUUUUGUAAGAUUUUGUGGCAUCACUGAUUUCUUAUGUUUGCUGUACGGAAACUAUUAGAAUAUGAGUCUGAAAACAGGGCCUGUGUGCUUGACCUGGGGCUGCAAAGAGGGUGGAUGAUGCAGAAACUUUAGCUCUUUGCAUUGCCCGCGUAGACUGGGGGGUGGGAGGGUGGACGGUGUCAGUUACAAAGUGAAGAGAAAAGCAGACUGAGUUGUGACCCAUGGCAAGGACUAAGAAAGAGAACCCACGUAGCCUCAGGGCUUACCUAAAGAAAGACACACUUGUGUGUUUCCAGGGUGAGAGCCAACAGGCAGUCAGCUCAAGAGCAGACCACAGCUCCGUAAGAAGGCAAGAAUAUGCCUGAGGGCAUUUGUGAAACUUCUGGUGAUAACCAUCUUUCAUAGUUUACCUCAUAAACAGUGACUGGAAGGAAAUGGGAUCACCUCUCCCGUCAUUUUUCAUUCACACUUUUUAUGGUGGCAAAGGCCACGGGUCUCUCUGCCACUCCUCUGAUAGGCAGGACCCCUCUCAGGUGAUGGUACAGGUCUCACAUUCCUUGAGAAGGUGACCAGAGGUUUUUGGGAGGAGCAGAGGUGUACAGAAGAUGGAAUUGAAGAAAAGAAAAAUGAAGCAAAAGACAGCAAUGGUGUAGUGCCGAAAUUUCCAUUUGGCUGUGUCCAGGAGCUGUUCAAAGGAGGAUGUUCAGCCCAGGGAAGGGAUCGCAGGACCUGUGCAUGUCCUGCCUACACCCUUAUUUCGCUUGACAGCUGUCAUCUCCAUUCAACCCGAGGUAGUGGAGGGAGAAGGGCUUUAUUUUAUGAUCCAGGCUAUUGUUCCCCUCUAUUAGGGAAGACAUUGGACAUAGUUACAUCUGGGGCUGUAUCUACUGUGAUUGAGACUCUGUCUACAAGAACCUAGAAGAACUGGGUCACACUGAAAUUUUGUAAGUCCUGUAGCCAAAGUUCUAGCACACUGUGUGCUUGUUAAAGGUAAGAAAAUAGGUCAGUGAAAUGCAAAAUAAUCAGAGUUGUCUAAUUUUCCGAUAUUCAUACACUUUUUGAUAAAUCAAUCAUAAUAAUAAGUCCUUUAAUCAUAUUUGUUAGGACCAUAGCUCUAUAUAUCCAAUAUUUAUUUAUAUGAAAAUUUCAGAUUCAUAUUGAAGCAUUCAAAGCUGUCAAUGCAAAGUCAAGUUUAUAUAUAGAAUUGAAAAAGGACCUAUAGAAUCUAAUGUUAAGAAAUUUUUUUAUUAUUGUUGUUAAUGUGAUAAACAAGCUUUUCCUUCCUAUUUCCCCAACUAUUAAUAUUACUUUUAACUUGAUUUUCAUAGUACAUAUAGACAAUUUAGCAUCUUAAAAGCCUGAGUUCUCAUAUAUUCAUAUAUUCAUGCACAAUCCCCAAGUGAAAAGUAAUCCUUAAUCCUUAUUCUUAUAUGCAAGAUUUUAUUUUCACAAACAUUUAGUGCUGAGUCAGAUAUUUCUCACUUUCUGUCUUCCUUUCCUAAAAUAAAAUAGUUUCACAUCCCAGAAGGUCCGAACAAUAAACAAAGAAAAGAGUUAAAUAUGUACCUAAGGGUGAUUGCAAACCAUCUGCUAUAGAGAAAGGGGGCAGUAUUUUGUGGUUUCAGAUUAGAUUCUGAAUCUCUAACACUUGCAUCUGUAAUGUAAAUAAUGGGAGAUAUUCAAAAAUAUAGAAGAAAAUUCAGAAUUUUCUACAGCUUUCAUUUUGGAGAGUCUUUUCUAAGCGAGACAAGUAGAAAUAAAAAACAUUUCAUCACAUAACAUUUUUAUUUUUUUAAUGCUCAGUUGAAACUAGCAUCCAUUUGAAGGACAAAUAAUAGACUGGGGAAGAAUAUUUGCAGUGGAUAUCAGUGGGACAGAUAACAGGAUAGCUAAUAUAUUUGCUCUCCAACAGCAGAGAUCUUAAUAAUUAAAUAUUGUCAGUUUUUUGAUGAAAACCUUCAUGGGCCUCCCCAUGUUGCUGAGUAACAGGCGGUAUCGCUACUAGGACUGAGAAGGUUCAGCAUCCUCUGGCAGGCAGCUUCUUCCUGCCUCCAUCACCUGCCUUUCUGGGCCCUGCUCUGGUUCCCUUGGUCCCAGCUGCACUGCCUUCCUUGCUAUUCCUUGGAUAUUUCAAGCCUCUGUCAUGUUGGGGCCCUCAGCUCAUGCUGAUCCCUCUCCUUAGAUGGUCUCCCUACAGAUAUUCCAUUGGCUCCACCUGAAGGCCUUUGUUCAGGUGUCCUGUUAUUAGUGAGGUUUUUGCUGAAAGAGCCACCCAAAGGAUCGGAACCCUCCCAUCUGGACUUCAUUCUCACUGCUUUAUUUUCUUGGUAGCCCUUCAAGGCUAUACUCACCUUACUCUUGCUUAUGUGCUUUUAGUCUGUUUCUGGACUAGGAAGUAAAUUUUGUGAAGUCAGGGAUUUUGUUCACUGCUCUGUCCCCCGCCCACAGAAGUACCCUGGAUAUAGUAGCUGCCCAAUCUUGUUUGAAGGGAGGAAUCACGCCAUAUGAAGAGCUUCUAUAAACUGAUGAGGAAAAGAUUAAAUUCCAAUGGAAACAUGGCUAUAAAAUUCACACAAGAAAUCUAAAUGGUCAAUAAACAUAUGGCAAAUGCUUAAACUUAUUGAAGUAAAGGGAAUAUACAGUAAAAAGAGUAAGAUACCAUAUGUUUACCCAUCAAAUUGGCAAGAAGGUUGAGAUGCAGUAACAUUCAGCACUGUUAAAUAUUUGAGCCAUUGGGCUCUCCCCUACCUUGUUGGUGGGUACAUGAAUUGCUACUACGUUUUUGGACAGUAAUCUGUCAGUAUUUGUUAAAACUAAGUAUCUUCAUACUUAGGCAGGUUCUGGGUUUCAUGGGGCCAGAAGUUUAAAUUUCAUCAGCUUCUUUCAUUUUAGCUUUUUGGAUCAUUCUUCAAGAAAAAUAGUAGAAAAUUACAGAUAAAAAUCUGAGUCUAAGAUCAUUUAAGAGGGCUGUACAACCAGGGCUUUGAGUCUGAAGCUUCAUUUGCUUUCUAAUAAAUCUGCCUCCAUGGCACAUGCCCUUGGACUGGCAGUCCCACUUCUGGGAACAUAUGCUAUAGGAAUAAGAGACCCAGUGCAUAAAAGAUGCAUGUACAAGGCUAUUUACUGCAGAAUUGUUUGUAAUAGAAUGGAAAUUGGUAAUAAUCUUAAUAUUUUAAUAAUGAGAAUUUUGAAUAUAGUAUGUCUAUUCUAUAGAUUAUUAUAAAAACACAUUCUAUAUUAUUUUUUACAUAAUAUAGAAUAAUAUCUAUAGUAUAUAAUAGAAUAUAAUGUCUAUUCUCUAUUAGGUAAGAAAAGACAGCUUUAAAAGGAUGUGUAUAAUGUAAUCCAAUUUUGAUAAAAGCAGCAGAGUAAACAAGAGCAAAAAGAACAGCAUCACACUUGUCCAUCUUUAUAUAUUUUUACGUGUGUGUGUGUGCAACUCAAAGCUAUGGAAAGAUGUGUUAUUAAUAUUGGGUACUUCAGGGAAGAAGUGGGAUGGGAAUGGAUGGGGAGAAUGAAUAGUUCAUUUAUCUUUAUACAACCUAGAAUAACCCAACUAGUUUCCACAAUGCAUUCAUAUUUUCCCAGCUUUAUUGAAAUAUAAUUGACCUAUAACAUUAAGGUUUAAAAUGUGUUGAUUUGAUUUUAAUUAUAUGGUGCAAAAUAAUUACCACAAUCGUAUUAGCCAUACCUCCAUCCCAUCACAUAAUUAUUUCUUUUUUGUGUUGAGAAUAUUUAAGAUCUAUGGGAGCUCUAUUUUUAAUUUUUCUGAGGACCUUCCAUACUGUUUUCCUUAGUGGCUGUUAUCAAAUUACAUCCCCAGGAAUAUGCACAAGUGUUCCCCUUUUCUCUGCAUCUUCUCCAGCCCUUGUUAUCUCUUGUCUAAUGCAUUUUUGCUUUUAUAAUAAAAAGGAAUAAAGACAUUAAAAACAAGAAAAGAUAAUCUCAUGAAAUGUAGUGAUGAUUUUAUGGUGAAGAUGGUGAUGCUGAUAAAGCAUUUUGGAUUUCUUGCUCACUGGUACAGAGGUAGGUAAAGUGUAGACGCUGCUCUCAAGAAACAAACUGAGGCAAAAGAAAUGUUAAGAAAUGAAGUAAGCAAACAAUAAAAUGCCAGCUAUGCUGGAAAAGAACGAAUAGAGACCUGGAGUCUAAGGCAGCCUCACCGAGCACUUGCAUAAUUAUCCAUAGCAAACAAGUAAAGUUUGAGGGGCAACCACCUUGGGUCGUGUCCUCCAAGAAGGGCACAGAGUAUAAGGUCAAGAUAGAAAGUGAUGAGUUGCCAUUGUGGCUCAGUGGGUUAAGAACCCAGCUGGCAUCCUUGAGGACGCGGGCUUCAUCCCUGGCCUCUCUCAGUGGGUUAAGGAAGUGGUGUUGCCACAAGCUGUGCCGUAGGUCGCAGAUGUGGCUCACAUCUGGCGUUGCCGUGAGCUGUGGCAUAGGCUGGCAGCUGCAGGUCUGAUUUGACCCCUAGCCCGGGAACCUCCAUAUGCUGCAGGGGCAGCCCUGAAAAGAAAAUAAGAUAGAAGGUAACUAGAUUCGAAUGAUGCUACAAUACCAGCAUUAACGAGCACUCAGCACGUGCCGGGCACUGUGUUGAUUACCACAGUUUUGUCCAUCCAGUUUUCACACGGCCCGUGAAGUGAGUACUCUUAUUUUGCCUAUUUUACAGGGAAGGCAGUUGGUUCAGAGAGGUUUAUAUGGCCAGCAAGUGGUGCAUCAAGGACUCAAGCCCAGGCCUGUCUGACCCAGAGCCCUUGUCCUUAGUUGCCAUGGCAUCUGGCCUGGCCUCUUCAAAGUGUAACAAGUGUAUGACUUUUAAGAUCCAGCGUGCUAUAUCUAUUGAGCAGGAAGUGUUAAACGGUUAAUAAAAGGCUACUCUGGCCAAAAAAAGUGCUUUCCAGUAAGAACUUGAGCUUUAGAGAAAGGAGAUGUGUAAUUUAGUGUAAAAGGCGGGUUACAUCUUCUUUACAGUUGUCUUGCCAUAGGGGUAUGAUGGGUUCCCCUGCAGCACAGAGCAUAGAUUAAAACAUAGGUUUUGGAGUUCCCUUGUGGCUCAACGGGUUAAGACCUGGCAUUGUCAUUGCAGCAGUUUGUCACUGUUGCGGUGUGGGUUUGAUACCUAGUCUGGGAACUUCCACAUGUUGCAGGCACAGUUCCUGCCCCUAUCCCCCCAAAAAAGUAUUUUUUAUUGGACUAGAGGACACUUGUAGGAGACGGGAUGGGUCCUCUUAUCCGUCCAGUGAGAAACGUGUGCCAGGGUCUGUGUGCUCUGGGCCUGCACUGAGGGUCUCUGUACACCUGUAGAGAUGGCACCCUGAGGCUUCUAUUCUAGCAGGAGCAUAUUCAUUGAGAGCCAUAGUGCACUAAGCAUACAGUGUAGGUACAAAGAAGACUCCGGAAUUUCUGACUUCAAAGAACUUAGUUUGGGUGGAGGCUCAGACAAGGAGGCAGUUAUUAUGGCUGUGAUGUAAGUGAGAUGACAAAAGUAGGCACGGGGUUCUUGGGGUGCAAAAAAAGGGCAUGUGACUCAGCCCUGUGCCGUGCAGGGACGGCUUCGCAAGAGAGAUCUUCUUCAAAGUAAACUUUACCUCAUUGAUUUGAAGUCACAGGACUGGACCGGAUGACAUCUCUAGUCCUUCUGCAGCAUUCUGUGACCCUGCACGUGGUGACUGAAUCUCAUGAGAAGGAGGACCGCAGUUCAGCCGCGAGGAUUCCUUGACCAAGAGAACAAAAGGACUCUGAAGUGCCAUUAGAGAGACUUAGCCAGGGUGACCACCUUCUUGGGCGUUUGUUGGAGACGUUUUGGAUUUCAAACUCCUAGACCAUGCAGUGCCGAUGCAAUUGUUCAUCACUGCAUUAACUCUCCGCUCGAUUUUUGUGGGACCUUUGACCUUGUCAGAGCAUCUAGAAUUGGGGGGGUGACAUCUAGAACUGGGCAGGUUUAAAGUGGCUCUUGAUCUGGAGAAGGGUAUAGAAUUGCAGGUCCCGGAUUGCACAUUUUCUAUUCCACCUGUCACCUGUUUCUUUCUACAGUGUGGGAAAAUAGCAGCCUUCUGGACCAUCAGACUUGAGCUGGAGGUUGUUUCAAAGUCAUCGGCCGUGAAAAUGAAAUUGAUUGUACAUCCUUCCUAUGAUGUCAUCUUCAAACUUGUUGAUUGAAAACGAAGAGGAAAAAAAUCAUGACCUAAGUGAACACAGGAGGAGGACUGGGGGUUAGAACAGAUGAUAUUUAUGACUGACUGAGAAUUUCAAUCUCAGCAACUAAAAUGAUGAACUUGGGAUCACUGGAAGUGGAAAUAGUUGACUUAACAGAUGGUAGGCGGCUCUUGUCAGAGAAUACUGUUCUGAGCAUGAGCCUAAUUGAGUAGUUUAUAUCUGUAUAAAUUAACAUUUUUUAAAGCUGUGAUAUUCUCAGGAGAAUUUUCAGGAUAAACAUUUUGAAUUUUCCAGGUCUCUUCAGUGGAAAACUUAUCAUUGGCCAAAGGUUAAUUUUACCAGUUUGAAAAUUAUACAUUGGAAAUUCAAAUGGACCAUGAUCUAUCUUUAAA